Molecule: ribosomal RNA, 776 nt
Filed under: uncultured Providencia sp.
Lineage: Bacteria; Pseudomonadati; Pseudomonadota; Gammaproteobacteria; Enterobacterales; Morganellaceae
Description: bacterial SSU rRNA
Rfam family: Bacterial small subunit ribosomal RNA
Source: RNAcentral
CGGCCCCUUGGACAAGACUGACGCUCAGGUGCGAAGCGUGGGGAGCAAACAGGAUUAGAUACCUGGUAGUCACGCUGUAAACGAUGUCGAUUUGGAGGUUGUUCCCUUGAGGAGUGGCUUCCGGAGCUAACGCGUUAAAUCGACCGCUGGGGAGUACGGCCGCAAGGUUAAAACUCAAAUGAAUUGACGGGGGCCCGCACAAGCGGUGGAGCAUGUGGUUUAAUUCGAUGCAACGCGAAGAACCUUACCUACUCUUGACAUCCAGAGAAUUUAGCAGAGAUGCUUUAGUGCCUUCGGGAACUCUGAGACAGGUGCUGCAUGGCUGUCGUCAGCUCGUGUUGUGAAAUGUUGGGUUAAGUCCCGCAACGAGCGCAACCCUUAUCCUUUGUUGCCAGCACAUUAUGGUGGGAACUCAAAGGAGACUGCCGGUGAUAAACCGGAGGAAGGUGGGGAUGACGUCAAGUCAUCAUGGCCCUUACGAGUAGGGCUACACACGUGCUACAAUGGCGUAUACAAAGAGAAGCGACCUCGCGAGAGCAAGCGGAACUCAUAAAGUACGUCGUAGUCCGGAUUGGAGUCUGCAACUCGACUCCAUGAAGUCGGAAUCGCUAGUAAUCGUAGAUCAGAAUGCUACGGUGAAUACGUUCCCGGGCCUUGUACACACCGCCCGUCACACCAUGGGAGUGGGUUGCAAAAGAAGUAGGUAGCUUAACCUUCGGGAGGGCGCUUACCACUUUGUGAUUCAUGACUGGGGUGAAGUCGUAACAAGGUAACCA